GGUCAGGUAGAGAAUACCAAGGCGCUUGAGAGAACUCGGGUGAAGGAACUAGGCAAAAUGGUGCCGUAACUUCGGGAGAAGGCACGCUGAUGGUAGGUGAAGUGACUUGCUCAUGGAGCUGAAAUCAGUCGAAGAUACCAGCUGGCUGCAACUGUUUAUUAAAAACACAGCACUGUGCAAACACGAAAGUGGACGUAUACGGUGUGACGCCUGCCCGGUGCCGGAAGGUUAAUUGAUGGGGUUAUCCGUAAGGAGAAGCUCUUGAUCGAAGCCCCGGUAAACGGCGGCCGUAACUAUAACGGUCCUAAGGUAGCGAAAUUCCUUGUCGGGUAAGUUCCGACCUGCACGAAUGGCGUAAUGAUGGCCAGGCUGUCUCCACCCGAGACUCAGUGAAAUUGAACUCGCUGUGAAGAUGCAGUGUACCCGCGGCAAGACGGAAAGACCCCGUGAACCUUUACUAUAGCUUGACACUGAACACUGGUCCUUGAUGUGUAGGAUAGGUGGGAGGCUUUGAAGUGUGGACGCCAGUCUGCAUGGAGCCAUCCUUGAAAUACCACCCUUUAAUGGCUGGUGUUCUAACGUGGGCCCGUAAUCCGGGUUGCGGACAGUGUCUGGUGGGUAGUUUGACUGGGGCGGUCUCCUCCUAAAGAGUAACGGAGGAGCACGAAGGUCAGCUAAUCCUGGUCGGACAUCAGGAGGUUAGUGCAAUGGCAUAAGCUGGCUUGACUGCGAGCGUGACGGCGCGAGCAGGUGCGAAAGCAGGUCAUAGUGAUCCGGUGGUUCUGAAUGGAAGGGCCAUCGCUCAACGGAUAAAAGGUACUCCGGGGAUAACAGGCUGAUACCGCCCAAGAGUUCAUAUCGACGGCGGUGUUUGGCACCUCGAUGUCGGCUCAUCACAUCCUGGGGCUGAAGUAGGUCCCAAGGGUAUGGCUGUUCGCCAUUUAAAGUGGUACGCGAGCUGGGUUUAGAACGUCGUGAGACAGUUCGGUCCCUAUCUGCCGUGGGCGCUGGAGAAUUGAGGGGGGCUGCUCCUAGUACGAGAGGACCGGAGUGGACGCAUCACUGGUGUUCGGGUUGUCAUGCCAAUGGCAUUGCCCGGUAGCUAAAUGCGGAAGAGAUAAGUGCUGAAAGCAUCUAAGCACGAAACUUGCCCCGAGAUGAGUUCUCCCUGACUCCUUGAGAGUCCUGAAGGAACGUUGAAGACGACGACGUUGAUAGGCCGGGUGUGUAAGCGCAGCGAUGCGUUGAGCUAACCGGUACUAAUGAACCGUGAGGCUUAACCUU
Molecule: ribosomal RNA, 1284 nt
Filed under: Klebsiella michiganensis
Lineage: Bacteria; Pseudomonadati; Pseudomonadota; Gammaproteobacteria; Enterobacterales; Enterobacteriaceae
Description: partial 23S ribosomal RNA
Rfam family: Bacterial large subunit ribosomal RNA
Source: RNAcentral